UGACACAACUUGGUUAGGUGCCCAGGC
This 27-nucleotide non-coding RNA is filed under the name Rattus norvegicus (Norway rat). The record is from RNAcentral. Lineage: Eukaryota; Metazoa; Chordata; Mammalia; Rodentia; Muridae.